This 504-nucleotide ribosomal RNA is filed under the name uncultured bacterium. RNAcentral describes it as "bacterial SSU rRNA". It matches the Rfam family "Bacterial small subunit ribosomal RNA", at positions 1004 to 1509 of the family's 1533-position model. The record is from RNAcentral.
AAAAAAUAGGGUCGGUUCGGCCGGAUUUCACACAGGUGUUGCAUGGCUGUCGUCAGCUCGUGUCGUGAGAUGUUGGGUUAAGUCCCGCAACGAGCGUAACCUCAUCCUUAGUUGCAUCAGGUAAUGCUGAGCACUUUAAGGAACUGCUAGUGAUAAACUGGAGGAAGGUGGGGAUGAUGUCAAGUCAUCAUGGCCCUUAUGGAGUGGGCUACACACGUGCUACAAUGGUGGCUACAAUGGGCUGCAAAGUCGCGAGGCCAAGCUAAUCCCUUAAAAGCCAUCUCAGUUCGGAUUGUACUCUGCAACUCGAGUGCAUGAAGUUGGAAUCGCUAGUAAUCGUGGAUCAGCAUGCCACGGUGAAUACGUUCUCGGGUCUUGUACACACUGCCCGUCACGCCAUGGGAAUUGGUUUCACUCGAAGCUAAUGACCUAACCGCAAGGAGGGAGUUAUUUAAAGUGGGAUCAGUGACUGGGGUGAAGUCGUAACAAGGUAAGCGUAGUGCU